RNAcentral lists this ribosomal RNA (437 nucleotides) under uncultured bacterium. Its description in RNAcentral is "bacterial SSU rRNA". It matches the Rfam family "Bacterial small subunit ribosomal RNA", at positions 8 to 429 of the family's 1533-position model. The record is from RNAcentral.
AGAGUUUGAUCCUGGCUCAGAAUCAACGCUGGCGGCGUGCCUAACACAUGCAAGUCGAACGCGAAAGUUCCUUCGGGAAUGAUUAGAGUGGCGUCCGGGUGAGUAACACGUGGGUAAUCUACCUUCGGGUGGGGAAUAACAUCUCGAAAGAGAUGCUAAUACCGCAUAAUGCAGCGGCAUCUAAUGAUGAUUAGUUGUUAAAGCGGGGGAUCGCAAGACCUCGCGCCUGAAGAGGAGCCUGCGGCCGAUUAGCUAGUUGGUGAGGUAAAGGCUCACCAAGGCUUCGAUCGGUAGCUGGUCUGAGAGGACGGCCAGCCACACUGGCACUGACACACGGGCCAGACUCCUACGGGAGGCAGCAGUGGGGAAUUUUGGGCAAUGGGCGAAAGCCUGACCCAGCAACGCCGCGUGAGGGAGGAAAUCCUUCGGGAUGUAAA